Molecule: long non-coding RNA, 248 nt
Organism: Hibiscus syriacus
Lineage: Eukaryota; Viridiplantae; Streptophyta; Magnoliopsida; Malvales; Malvaceae
Exons: 3
Source: RefSeq, a predicted model, not a curated record
AAUGAAGAAGAUAAGUCUGUUACAGCAGACAUGCUUAUACUAUCUGGAAGUGCUAUUGUGAAUGAUACCAUUCUCACAGGCGAGUCUACUCUCCAAUGGAAGGUUUCUAUAGCAGGCAGGGGUAUUGAGAAGAAGCUAUCUUCCAAGCGUGACAAUAAUCAUAUUUUGUUUGGUGGGACUAAAAUAUUGCAGCACACAGCUGAUAAGAGCUUCCCUCUGAGAACUCCGGAUGAUGGUUGCUUGGUUGU